This 301-nucleotide ribosomal RNA is filed under the name uncultured bacterium. RNAcentral describes it as "partial 16S ribosomal RNA". It matches the Rfam family "Bacterial small subunit ribosomal RNA", at positions 509 to 809 of the family's 1533-position model. The record is from RNAcentral.
CAGCAGCCGCGGGAAUACGUAGGGUGCAAGCGUUAUCCGGAAUUAUUGGGCGUAAAGAGCUCGUAGGCGGUUUGUCGCGUCUGCCGUGAAAGUCCGGGGCUCAACCCCGGAUCUGCGGUGGGUACGGGCAGACUAGAGUGAUGUAGGGGAGACUGGAAUUCCUGGUGUAGCGGUGAAAUGCGCAGAUAUCAGGAGGAACACCGAUGGCGAAGGCAGGUCUCUGGGCAUUAACUGACGCUGAGGAGCGAAAGCAUGGGGAGCGAACAGGAUUAGAUACCCGAGUAGUCCCUGUCUCUUAUAA